CGUGAGUUAGUAGUAUAGGAACUGCGUCUGUAAACUUGACUUUAGGUAUAAUAUAUAUAUUUGAUUUCUCUGUUCAGAUAUAUGGCUCAGAAGGAAAACCCACUACAGCAGUUUUGUUAAUAGAGAGAAAGACAAGCAGUCUUAGGAUAGUCUUCAAAUUUUGAGAGAUAGUAUUUAUGAUGGUGCCAUGCUCUAAAGAUGAGAAACACUGCUGAGAAAAGAGCGAAGAUAGCUGCUGGAGCACUGCAAGAAGCAAGAGCAAAACCAGCCCAUUCAAUGAUUUCUCCAAGGAAAUUGGCUGCUGUAACAUAGUUGAACAAUCCACCAACAGGGAUCUUGUAUCCUGUCUCUCCUGGUUUGCGUAAAUGAAUCAGGAGCUGGUCUGUUAACAACAAUCAGUUAAUUAGAUUUUUUCCAAAGCAAUUUAACCCUUUGCAAUAACCACACCUGAAUAGAUAUUGAUGGCCAUCCCAACAAGGAACAUGGUGUAGCCUGGAAUCAAAAUUGAUUCAAAGUUUGUUUUUUUGUUAACAUAUGAUUUUUAUGUUAUUCCAGUUUACCUAUAACAAACUGAGGUGAAGUUAACCAUUUAUUAUCAUAUUGAUAGUAAUUUAACAGGUAAUGCCCUUGCAUAAAGCCAUUAAAGAUGGAGAAUAACAUUGCCGAGAUGUAGGGUAUAAAGGGAGUUUUCUUACUGCCUCGGACACACAAAGGAUAAAUUAUACUCCUGCAAAUAGUGCAUUGUUAAUGUUACGCUAAAACACAAAUUGUAACCAGACAGUAACACUUACCUAUUAAUAUAAUGGGUGACAAAUCCUA
This 819-nucleotide long non-coding RNA is filed under the name Daphnia magna. RNAcentral's name for it is "uncharacterized LOC116924678, transcript variant X2". The record is from RNAcentral. Lineage: Eukaryota; Metazoa; Arthropoda; Branchiopoda; Diplostraca; Daphniidae.